CCUACGGGAGGCAGCAGUGAGGAAUAUUGGUCAAUGGACGAGAGUCUGAACCAGCCAAGUCGCGUGAAGGAUGACUGUCCUAUGGGUUGUAAACUUCUUUUAUCAGGGAAUAAAACGAGGCACGUGUGCCUUUUUGCAUGUACUUGAUGAAAAAGGAUCGGCUAACUCCGUGCCAGCAGCCGCGGUAAUACGGGGGAUGCGAGCGUUAUCCGGAUUUAUUGGGUUUAAAGGGUGCGUAGGCUGGGAGGUAAGUCAGCGGUGAAAUGCCCCCGCUCAACGGGGUGAAGUGCCAUUGAUACUGACUUGCUGGAAUGCGGAUGACGUGUGAGGAAUGUGUGGUGUAGCGGUGAAAUGCAUAGAUAUCACACAGAACACCGAUUGCGAAGGCAGCUAACG
Molecule: ribosomal RNA, 396 nt
Filed under: uncultured bacterium
Lineage: Bacteria
Description: partial 16S ribosomal RNA
Rfam family: Bacterial small subunit ribosomal RNA
Source: RNAcentral